GUGAGCUUUCAAUUUCUCUGUGUGGCUCCUGUUUUCAAACGCAGUCUCCAAGUUUGGGAAAGUGGAUAACCAGACCAGAAUGUGUGGUCUGUAGGACAGCAGUAUCUUCUUGCUGAAGUGCUUGCGUCACAAGCCGCUGGUUCCAGCAGUGCCUUACGGAGUCAAAGGUGAAGGAAAUGCUGGAAACGUGCCUGAAAGGCCAUGCUGUUGUACCUGGGGCUGGAAAUGCCAGGUCACAGCCCUUCCCGCAGAUGCCUGGCCGUGGAGGGGAGGGUGGAAAAUGUGUCCAAGGACUGAUGGAGUAAGAUUCGUAUUUCAUGGCAAGGAUAUUAGGAUGUGAAAUAAAAUGCAUAUUCUAUGGCAAGAAGAGAAAAAUUGAAACAGAAAAGAUCUUCUCUGCCCUUUGGCCCCUCUCUUCCCCCUGCUGUGCACCGUGUAUCUGCCUUGUGCCUGGACCAAACCUCUACCAUCCACAGAAAUACCUGCUCAACUGCAACGAACAGUGUUCUCCUAGCAUCUUUUAUCUUUUAAGACAAUGCCUUAAAAGAUAACAUUCCUUCCUGAUCUUCCAAGGAGUCACAUGACCCACCUCGAUGGCGAUUAGAUCCAGAUCGUGUAAACUGUCAAUAAUGCGUCGCUUUGAUGCACGGUCCUCGGUCUCAAAAAGCUUAUGUGAACUGCAUCUUGACUUCUAAUGAGCAGGACGGUUCUUGGAGCUUUCUGAGAAUCUCUUCCUGGAUUAUAAUCCUCAAAUUUGGCUUGAAUAAAACUUUCCAAUUCUUUCUUAGAUCGACUGAUUGUGCUUUUGUCUACACGGAGAAGGAACACCUAGUUGGCUGAUGCUAAAGAUAUCCAAGCAACCA
Long non-coding RNA from Bos taurus (domestic cattle), 863 nucleotides. The record is from Ensembl. Lineage: Eukaryota; Metazoa; Chordata; Mammalia; Artiodactyla; Bovidae.